Molecule: ribosomal RNA, 253 nt
Filed under: uncultured bacterium
Lineage: Bacteria
Description: partial 16S ribosomal RNA
Rfam family: Bacterial small subunit ribosomal RNA
Source: RNAcentral
UACGAAGGGUGCAAACGUUGCUCGGAAUUAUUGGGCGUAAAGCGCACGUAGGCGGUUUUGUGUGUCGGAUGUGAAAACCCUCGGCUCAACCAAGGAAGUGCAUCCGAAACUACAGGACUUGAGUACAGAAGAGGAUCGCGGAAUUCCCGGUGUAGAGGUGAAAUUCGUAGAUAUCGGGAGGAACAUCAGUGGCGAAGGCGGCGAUCUGGGCUGAUACUGACGCUGAGGUGCGAAAGCGUGGGGAGCAAACAGG